This 301-nucleotide ribosomal RNA is filed under the name uncultured bacterium. Its description in RNAcentral is "partial 16S ribosomal RNA". It matches the Rfam family "Bacterial small subunit ribosomal RNA", at positions 509 to 808 of the family's 1533-position model. The record is from RNAcentral.
CAGUCGCCACGGUAAUACGUAGGUCCCGAGCGUUGUCCGGAUUUAUUGGGCGUAAAGCGAGCGCAGGCGGUUUGAUAAGUCUGAAGUUAAAGGCUGUGGCUCAACCAUAGUUCGCUUUGGAAACUGUCAAUCUUGAGUGCAGAAGGGGAGAGUGGAAUUCCAUGUGUAGCGGUGAAAUGCGUAGAUAUAUGGAGGAACGCCGGUGGCGAAAGCGGCUCUCUGGUCUGUAACUGACGCUGAGGCUCGAAAGCGUGGGGAGCGAACAGGAUUAGAUACCCGCGUAGUCCCUGUCUCUUAUACA